UUGGAAACAGUACAUAUCGGUUUGAGGUGUCUUUUAUUUUAUUUUAUUUUUGCCAUCGAUUUAUAUGCUAAUGAUUUAAUUUCUAUGUUAAGAGUAUCAUCGCUUAUGGUAAGAACUCAGCAGAAUAGAUGAUAAGAGAUAACAACAUGACAUGGAUUGGAGGGCAUAUUUCUCAGUAGCCAUAUCAAAUCAUGGGAAUCUGAUUGGUGGAUUGGCCUCGCGAUCACAGUACGAAAGCGAGAAAAUGCAUAUCUAAUGGCCAGAAGCAUGUAAGCAUGAAAAUCCCCAUGCGCCCAUAUUAUUUAUUUCUUUUAUUCUUCUCUUUUGGGUGAAAAAUAAACAAGAAGCUUUUUUUUUUUUCUUCCCUAGGGUUUCCAUCAAUUCUCGAUUUCUACUCCUAUGUCC
This 405-nucleotide long non-coding RNA is filed under the name Prunus persica (peach). Its description in RNAcentral is "long non-coding RNA (PPER_LNC001258)". Lineage: Eukaryota; Viridiplantae; Streptophyta; Magnoliopsida; Rosales; Rosaceae. The record is from RNAcentral.